AAAGGAAUAGACGGGGGUCCGCACAACCGGUGGAACAUGUGGUUUAAUUCGACGAUACGCGAAAAACCUUACCUGGACUUGACAUAUAUCUGGUAGGAGUCCGAAAGGGCAACGACCUAUUUCUUCGGAGAUAGGAGGAUAAACAGGUGGUGCAUGGCUGUCGUCAGCUCGUGCCGUGAGGUGUUGGGUUAAGUCCCGAAACGAGCGCAACCCUUGCUCUUAGUUACUCGUCUUUAUAGACAGCACUUUAAGAGGACUGCCGUGGUUAACACGGAGGAAGGUGGGGACGACGUCAAGUCAGCACGCCCCUUAUGUCCAGGGCUACACACGUGUUACAAUGGUUGGUACAGAGAGAAGCGAAGCCGUAAGGUGGAGCAAAUCUCAAAAAGCCAAUCUCAGUUCGGAUUGCAGGCUGCAACUUGCCUACAUGAAGUUGGAAUCGGUAGUAAUCGCGGAUCAGCUAGGCCGCGGUGAAUACGUUCUCGGACCUUGUACACACCGCCCGU
Molecule: ribosomal RNA, 506 nt
Filed under: uncultured bacterium
Lineage: Bacteria
Description: bacterial SSU rRNA
Rfam family: Bacterial small subunit ribosomal RNA
Source: RNAcentral